RNAcentral lists this transfer RNA (74 nucleotides) under Planctomycetota bacterium. RNAcentral's name for it is "Planctomycetes bacterium (sediment metagenome) tRNA-Arg". It matches the Rfam family "tRNA". From Rfam's summary of the family: Transfer RNA (tRNA) molecules are approximately 80 nucleotides in length. Their secondary structure includes four short double-helical elements and three loops (D, anti-codon, and T loops). The record is from RNAcentral. Lineage: Bacteria; Pseudomonadati; Planctomycetota.
GUGCCCGUAGCUCAACUGGAUAGAGUGCCGGGCUUCGAACCCGGAGGCUGCAGGUUCAACUCCUGCCGGGCACA